GCCGUGCGUGCAGAUACUGAUCACUGAGAGAUGGGGCGGACGGCGAGUAGGUUAGAUUGAGAUUGGUGUAGAAACGGGGCACCUCAGGAGAGAGGGAAAACGGGGUUGGAGUGGUGGCGGCGUGAGCCUGCAGCAGACAGUGAGAAAGAAAAAUGGCGGUGGAGGCGUGGCGGCGAUCGGCGAUCGGCGUCGGCAACGGCAGAGGGGAAAAAUAAGAGAUGUG
Molecule: unclassified non-coding RNA, 223 nt
Filed under: Hevea brasiliensis (rubber tree)
Lineage: Eukaryota; Viridiplantae; Streptophyta; Magnoliopsida; Malpighiales; Euphorbiaceae
Source: RNAcentral